This 406-nucleotide ribosomal RNA is filed under the name uncultured bacterium. RNAcentral describes it as "partial 16S ribosomal RNA". It matches the Rfam family "Bacterial small subunit ribosomal RNA", at positions 30 to 526 of the family's 1533-position model. The record is from RNAcentral.
AUUGAACGCUGGCGGCAGGCUUAACACAUGCAAGUCGAACGAGUGGCGGACGGGUGAGUAAUGUCUGGGAAUCUGGCUUAUGGAGGGGGAUAACUACUGGAAACUGUAGCUAAUACCGCAUACCAUCGGAUGAGCCCAAGUGGGAUUAGGUAGUUGGUGAGGUAAAGGCUCACCUAGCCGACGAUCCCUAGCUGGUCUGAGAGGAUGACCAGCCACACGGGAACUGAGACACGGUCCAGACUCCUACGGGAGGCAGCAGUGGGGAAUAUUGCACAAUGGGCGCAAGCCUGAUGCAGCCAUGCCGCGUGUAUGAAGAAGGCCUUCGGGUUGUAAAGUACUUUCAGCGAGGAGGCGUUACUCGCAGAAGAAGCACCGGCUAACUCCGUGCCAGCAGCCGCGGUAAUAC